UAUCUCUGUAGAGUCUGCAUAUCAAUAAGCGGAGGAAAAGAAACUAACUAGGAUUCCCUCAGUAACGGCGAGUGAAGCGGGAAGAGCUCAAAUUUGAAAUCUUCAAGGUUCUACCUUGACGAAUUGUAGUUUAAAGAAGUGUUUUCUGUCGGAGUUUUGGUAAAAGUUCUUUGGAAUAGGACAUCAUAGAGGGUGAGAAUCCCGUAUUUGACCAUUAUUUCCAACUUUGUGAUACACUUUCAAAGAGUCGGAUUGUUUGGGAAUGCAGUCCAAAAUGGGUGGUAAAUUUCAUCUAAAGCUAAAUACUGGCGAGAGACCGAUAGCGAACAAGUACCGUGAGGGAAAGAUGAAAAGAACUUUGAAAAGAGAGUUAAACAGUACGUGAAAUUGUCAAAAGGGAAGCGUUUGACACCAGUGUUGUUUUCUCGAAAAUCAAUUAAAAAUGGCGGGAUUUUGUGUUGUAUUGACCUUAUAAGCUUUCUGCACUCUUUUUCCUUGUCUUUUUUAAUGCACUUUUCGUUUAACAAGUCAACAUCAAUUUCUUUUGUUGUAAAGGAGUCAUUGGAAGGUGGCUUUCUUUUCGGAGAAAGUGUUUAUAGCCUUUGACUUCUGCAAUCGGAGAGAUUGAGGUCUGCAGCGUAGAUCCUUCGGGGUUAGAUGCAUUUGUGCUAAGCUAUAGCCUUUCAUAGACAACUUGUUGACUAUGAUCAGUCAUAGUAGCUUACUCGCUUAUGUCAUUUUACCUACGCUUAGGAUGUUGAGUAGCGACAUACGCAC
RNAcentral lists this ribosomal RNA (777 nucleotides) under uncultured Neocallimastigales. RNAcentral's name for it is "partial large subunit ribosomal RNA". It matches the Rfam family "Eukaryotic large subunit ribosomal RNA", at positions 24 to 649 of the family's 3401-position model. Lineage: Eukaryota; Fungi; Neocallimastigomycota; Neocallimastigomycetes; Neocallimastigales. The record is from RNAcentral.